RNAcentral lists this ribosomal RNA (518 nucleotides) under Escherichia coli. RNAcentral's name for it is "partial 23S ribosomal RNA". It matches the Rfam family "Bacterial large subunit ribosomal RNA", at positions 1 to 548 of the family's 2925-position model. Lineage: Bacteria; Pseudomonadati; Pseudomonadota; Gammaproteobacteria; Enterobacterales; Enterobacteriaceae. The record is from RNAcentral.
GGGUUGUGAGGUUAAGCGACUAAGCGUACACGGUGGAUGCCCUGGCAGUCAGAGGCGAUGAAGGACGUGCUAAUCUGCGAUAAGCGUCGGUGAGGUGAUAUGAACCGUUAUAACCGGCGAUUUCCGAAUGGGGAAACCCAGUGUGUUUCGACACACUAUCAUUAACUGAAUCCAUAGGUUAAUGAGGCGAACCGGGGGAACUGAAACAUCUAAGUACCCCGAGGAAAAGAAAUCAACCGAGAUUCCCCCAGUAGCGGCGAGCGAACGGGGAGGAGCCCAGAGCCUGAAUCAGUGCGUGUGUUAGUGGAAGCGUCUGGAAAGGCGUGCGAUACAGGGUGACAGCCYCGUACNACAAAAAUGCACAUAUUGUGMGCUCGAUGAGUAGGGCGGGAMACGUGGUAUCCUGUCWGAAUAUGGGSGGMCCAUCCUCYAAGGCUAAAUCCYCCUGMCUGACCGAUAGUGAWCCAGUACCGUGAGGGAAAGGCGAAAAGAACCCCGGCGAGGGGAGUGAAAAAGAA